CUCCAUUCCAGGGUACCACAUUGCAUUUAGACACCCUGCCUUUUGAAACUUGAUUUUAGUCAAAGAUUUUAAAUAAGUCACUAGUAAUACCAGAUUAUCUUCCAUUAUUGUAGUUCCUAAGUCUGCCCAGUCAAAGGCAUUGGAUUUGCCUCCUCCUUUAAAUUAUUCCUUGGUAUCUCUAUCUGGAUAUAAUCUCUUGCUCUGAAUUUUUAUAAAUUUUUUCCCUUUACUUCCCUCAUGCUUUAUUAAAGUACUUUUGCUGAUUUGUCAGUCCUUUCUAAGUGAUAAAUAAAAUCAGUCUUGGUACAUUGGUACAUCAUCUAUAGAGCUGAGUGAGAUCUGAACCCUACUUGAAACUAAAUCAAAGCCUCUUAAGUUUAUUCCACAUUGUUUUGUGAAGAUGAUAGGAUGAUAUCAGAUUAAUGACUUGAUCCAACCAGCACCUUUGGAGAAUUAAAACCAUAAAAUUAAGUUGUUAGUUAUUUGCAAUCACUGUGCUUCCCUAGAAGUUAAAGACUAGAGUUAGAUAUAGAGUCCUCCCUCAUUGUCUCUCAGCCUUAUAGAUUGAUACUAUUCUACUGUAGUUAUAGCUCUCAAAAAACAUUUGUCUCUUUAGUACAUACAGCUGUGAAGCUAAAAAGCAAAUUUGAAUAAUUUCUUUAAAUGAGUGUAUUUAAAACAUUGACUUUUCUAAAAUGAUCUCGUACUUCCUGCUCUAUUUAUGUCUUCAUAUUUUAUAACAUAGAUUAUGUCUUAGGUCUCCUUAAUUACACCUCCAAACUGCUAGUGAGUAGCAGGUGUAAAAUUGAGGGGUUGAGGGAAGAACUGUGAAUAAAUGUUACAUGGUAAAUUGUAUACUUAUACAUUAUAAGAGCUGGUAGCUACUUAUAUAGUGAGCUUGGG
RNAcentral lists this long non-coding RNA (903 nucleotides) under Marmota monax (woodchuck). The record is from RNAcentral. Lineage: Eukaryota; Metazoa; Chordata; Mammalia; Rodentia; Sciuridae.